This 63-nucleotide transfer RNA is filed under the name Gonyosoma frenatum. RNAcentral's name for it is "tRNA-Val". The record is from RNAcentral. Lineage: Eukaryota; Metazoa; Chordata; Lepidosauria; Squamata; Colubridae.
CAAAAAGUAGCUUACACAAAGCAUUCGGCUUACAACCGAACGACAUUAUACUGAUCUUUUUGA